This 75-nucleotide transfer RNA is filed under the name Gluconobacter oxydans. RNAcentral describes it as "tRNA-Val". It matches the Rfam family "tRNA". Rfam says of the family: Transfer RNA (tRNA) molecules are approximately 80 nucleotides in length. Their secondary structure includes four short double-helical elements and three loops (D, anti-codon, and T loops). The record is from RNAcentral. RNAcentral also lists the same sequence under 12 other names. Lineage: Bacteria; Pseudomonadati; Pseudomonadota; Alphaproteobacteria; Acetobacterales; Acetobacteraceae.
GGGCGCGUAGCUCAGCGGUAGAGCACUCCCUUCACACGGGAGGGGUCACAGGUUCAAUCCCUGUCGUGCCCACCA